CCACGUGUCAUUGCCUUCAGUCAUCGUCCCGCAAACAGCAGCACAACUACUCGCAGAAGUGGUCUUCCCUCGCAUCAUCCGCCCUCCGCCGGCCCACCACCUCCGCCGCCUCGCCCCUGCCGCGUCCCCGUUCCCGGCCCCGCAAACCCUAACCCUAAUGGCCGCCUACGCCGGGACCACCAGCUCCUUCCCGUACCUACUCGCCGGUUCCUCCCCGGCGGCCCGCCGCCACGGGGCCGCACACCGGAUCCACGCCUCGGCAUCAGGGACGACAGGGGAGGGCAAUGGACGUGGUGUCAGAGGCGGAGCUGCGGGAGAAGGGGUUCAUGGGGAUGCGGAAGACGAAGCUGGUGUGCACGGUGGGGCCCGCCUGCGUGGAGGCGCUGCCGGCGCUGGCGCGCGGCGGGAUGGGCGGGGCGCGGGUCAACCUCUGCCACGGCGGCCGCGAGUGGCACCGGGCCGCCAUGCGCGCCGUGCGGAGGCUCAACGACGAGGAAGGCUUCUGCGUCUCGCUCAUGGUCGACACCGAGGGCUCCCAGCUACUCGUCGCGGACCACGGAGGCGCCACCUCCGUCAAGGCCGAGGAUGACUCAGAGUGGCUAUUUACAAACAAAAAGACUGAUGAAGCCCAUCCAUUCACAAUGCAUGUCAAUUUUGAGAAGUUUUCUGAUGGCAUUCUAGUUGGUGAUGAGCUUGUGAUAGACGGUGGAAUGGCAACAUUUGAAGUUACUGAGAAAAUUGGGAAUGAUUUGCGCUGUAAGUGCACAGACCCAGGUUUGCUUCUUCCUCUAGCCAAGUUGUCAUUCUGGAGGAAUGGAAAAUUAGUUGAAAGGAACUUUGGCCUUCCUACAUUGUCGGCAAAGGAUUGGGCAGAUAUCGAAUUUGGGAUAGCAGAAGGAGUUGAUUGCAUUGCUCUAUCUUUUGUAAAGGAUGAUAAUGAUAUAAAGCAGCUGAAGGCUUACCUCUCCAGAAGAUCAUUAGAGCACAUCAAAAUUUUUGCGAAGAUCGAGAGUCUGGAGUCUCUCAAGAACCUGAAAGACAUCAUAAAGGCAUCCGAUGGAGUUAUGGUAGCACGUGGGGAUCUUGGAGUUCAGAUUCCUCUGGAACAAAUUCCAGCCAUCCAACAGUCAAUUGUUACUUUAUGUAGACACGUGAACAAGCCUGUGAUAGUUGCUUCACAGCUUCUCGAAUCAAUGGUUGAAUAUCCAACGCCAACUCGAGCGGAGGUGGCUGAUGUUUCUGAAGCAGUGCGGCAAUAUGCAGAUGCUGUGAUGCUAUCAGCAGAGUCAGCUAUAGGUGCAUAUCCCCAGAAAGCUCUAUCUGUCCUCCGUGUGGCCAGUGAGAGGAUGGAAUCAUGGAGCCGUGAGGAGAGCAUGCAGAAACUUCUUCCACAACAUCAGCUUGCAGUCGCUCUGCCUGACCGGAUCUCAGAGCAAAUUUGCAACUGUGCUGUAGAAAUGGCAAACAACCUUGCUGUGGAUGCCAUAUUUGUUUACACAAAGCAUGGUCACAUGGCAUCACUUUUAUCACGCAACCGGCCAAACCCUCCCAUAUUUGCGUUCACUGAUGAUGUUCAUUCAAGAAAGAGCAUGAACCUCUACUGGGGAGUGAUACCGUUGCAUCUUCCAUUAUCUAACAGCAUGGAGGAUAACUUUAAGAAAACCAUCAGCCUGAUGAAGUCAAAGGGUUCUGUGAAACCUGGAGACACAAUCUUGCUGGUCUCAGACUCUGAUCUAAACCGACCUUGUGCUGCCACAUCUGUGUUCCAAUCCAUUCAAGUUCGGUUAGUGGACUAGGUUAGGCUUAGGCAUAAUGGGACGAAUAAAUGUUCCUGGAUGUUGAUGGCUCUUUACAAGUACAGGGGUUGCUGCAAAUGUAUUACAGUACCAGACUGCAUACCUUGUACAUUUGUCCAUGGAUUACGUGCGUUCAUUCUCCAAUAAGGAGCUAUUUGACUUGUAGCAUUUUAGUACAUUUGUACACGAAAAUGAUUAUUACCUUUCAGUAUUGAAGACUCUUGUUAAAGGAUAAUUGAAAGGGGUAGUAAUGUUCAA
Molecule: RNA transcript, 2054 nt
Organism: Panicum virgatum (switchgrass)
Lineage: Eukaryota; Viridiplantae; Streptophyta; Magnoliopsida; Poales; Poaceae
Gene name: pyruvate kinase isozyme A, chloroplastic-like
Exons: 7
Source: RefSeq, a predicted model, not a curated record